Long non-coding RNA from Sinocyclocheilus anshuiensis, 114 nucleotides. RefSeq lists it as uncharacterized. Lineage: Eukaryota; Metazoa; Chordata; Actinopteri; Cypriniformes; Cyprinidae. The record is from RefSeq and is a predicted model, not a curated record. The transcript has 3 exons.
AUCCAACAACAGAACACCUCAAUCGCUUAGGAGCCAUUCUUCUCUACAUCUGCUCCGGCGUCAAAACAAUGGCGGAUUGAUGACAGCUCACUCAGGGAGGGUCUGAAGGUAAGA